CCAGACUCCUACGGGAGGCAGCAGUGGGGAAUAUUGCACAAUGGGGGAAACCCUGAUGCAGCGACGCCGCGUGAGCGAUGAAGUAUUUCGGUAUGUAAAGCUCUAUCAGCAGGGAAGAAAAUGACGGUACCUGACUAAGAAGCCCCGGCUAACUACGUGCCAGCAGCCGCGGUAAUACGUAGGGGGCAAGCGUUAUCCGGAUUUACUGGGUGUAAAGGGAGCGUAGACGGUCCUGCAAGCCAGAUGUGAAACCCCGGGGCUCAACCCCGGGCAUGCAUUGGAAACUGGCGGGCUGGAGUGUCGGAGAGGCAGGCGGAAUUCCUAGUGUAGCGGUUAAAUGCGUAGAUAUUAGGAGGAACACCAGUGGCGAAGGCGGCCUGCUGGACGAUGACUGACGUUGAGGCUCGAAAGCGUGGGGAGCAAACAGGAUUAGAUACCCGCGUUC
Molecule: ribosomal RNA, 445 nt
Filed under: uncultured bacterium
Lineage: Bacteria
Description: bacterial SSU rRNA
Rfam family: Bacterial small subunit ribosomal RNA
Source: RNAcentral